Cornus florida is the source of this 1411-nucleotide long non-coding RNA. RefSeq lists it as uncharacterized. The transcript has 2 exons. The record is from RefSeq and is a predicted model, not a curated record. Lineage: Eukaryota; Viridiplantae; Streptophyta; Magnoliopsida; Cornales; Cornaceae.
UUCCUUAACCCAGAGUUCUUAGUAUUGUGGUGAUUGAUCUUCUUUUUCUUCUCUUUUUUCUUUCUCCUGGUGAAAAUAAAUAUAGGCACUUAUGUAUAUGUAUACGUCCAAAACCCUCUCCAAUUCUUUAAUCUUGCGUCGAAUCUUGUGAGACAUUGAUUCGAUGAAGCUAUUCGACUGCAUCUAAACACAAUGACUAGAAAUCACAACGAAAAGUGUAAUUAGGUUUGGAAGAAUUUCACCUUUCGAAGAUCAUCGCUGAGAGAUAGAAGAGAAUCCAAUGUUCCAACUCGCAAAAUUAACGAUUUCAAACCAGAUCUCAUGUAUAUAUAUACAUGAGUGCCUAUAUUUAUGUGCGUGUGUGUUGCGAUCAGUACCCUGUAGAUGGUCUGUUUUAAAGAGAGAGAAGGGAGUGAAGAAGAAGAAGAUUUGAAGGGUAUUUUUGUAAUUUUAAAAACUAAUUUUAAGUUUUUAAUUUAAUAUUAAAUAGUAAGGUCAAAUUUGUCAUUUCACAGCCUAAUUAACGGGUUGGAUACAGAUAUUGGGGCAAUGUGAACACUUUUUAAAAGUAUAGGGGUUUUAGAAACAGGCUGGGGUUUUAUUAUAAAAAAAUGAAAGUAGUGAGGGUUUUAUGAAAUUUGCCCUAUUAUAUAUAUAUAUAUAUAGCAUAUGGAGAAAAAGGGUGCACUGCCGAAAGUGGGUGGAAACAUGGAAGGCCGGAAGUGAGAAAUGGAAAUGGAAAUGAAAAUGGAAAUGGAAAUGAAAUUUUAAUGUGUUAGUGGCGGGUCCCACUAAUGGUUUGUUUGGCCAAAAUUUUCUUGGGCUUUGGCUGUUCAUGUGGGUGUCCUUUGGAUAAAAUUUGUAUUCUUUAUGAAAGGAUAAGGAAGAGAAAGAUAAGGGAGUAGUGAAAUAAUGGGCUGCCAAAAGUAACAGAUUUAAUUGUAAUGAGAAAAGUGUGGGCUACACUUGAAGACUAAUUGUUUGAUAUUUUUGGUGAGCUAUUUGCACUGUGUCAACACAAAUUGUCUAUUUAUUGGGUGUUUGUUGUGUACUGAGGUAUUCAUAGAUAGUAUGAGAAAAUAGAGGAAGUAGAAGGGAAAAAUUAGAGAAAGAUUGAGGAGCUGAUGCCGAGAGAAGGCAGAGAGGACCGAGACUUGGAUAAUCCAGUGAUGAGUAUUUAUUUUUUUGAUUUCAGGUACAAAGGAUAAGCUUGGAUUGCUAGAUUCGGGCUUCGGUGGAAGAGUUGGUAUUGAGGAUUUUUAUUUAAUUUAUUUUAGAGAUGUUGUAUUUUUAUUUGAGGAAUUGAUGUUGUAUCAAUAAAGGGAAUAAUUGUAUUUCUUUUUGAGAUGCUGGGUGUAAUACUGAUGUAUUUUGAUUUGAAUAAAUCGAGGAUUUUAUUUAGAAAAUUCUG